GAUGAACGCUGACAGAAUGCUUAACACAUGCAAGUCUACUUGAAUUUGGGUUUUUAACUUAGAUUUGGGUGGCGGACGGGUGAGUAACGCGUGAAGAACUUGCCUCACAGCUAGGGACAACAUUUAGAAAUGAAUGCUAAUACCUAAUAUUAUGAUAAUAGGGCAUCCUAUAAUUAUGAAAGCUAUAUGCGCUGUGAGAGAGCUUUGCGUCCCAUUAGCUAGUUGGAGAGGUAACGGCUCACCAAGGCGAUGAUGGGUAGCCGGCCUGAGAGGGUGAUCGGCCACAAGGGGACUGAGACACGGCCCUUACUCCUACGGGAGGCAGCAGUGGGGAAUAUUGGACAAUGGACCGAGAGUCUGAUCCAGCAAUUCUGUGUGCACGAUGAAGUUUUUCGGAAUGUAAAGUGCUUUCAGUUGGGAAGAAAGAAAUGACGGUACCAACAGAAGAAGUGACGGCUAAAUACGUGCCAGCAGCCGCGGUAAUACGUAUGUCACGAGCGUUAUCCGGAUUUAUUGGGCGUAAAGCGCGUCUAGGUGGUUAUAUAAGUCUGAUGUGAAAAUGCAGGGCUCAACUCUGUAUUGCGUUGGAAACUGUAUAACUAGAGUACUGGAGAGGUAAGCGGAACUAUAAGUGUAGAGGUGAAAUUCGUAGAUAUUUGUAGGAAUGCCGAUGGGGAAGCCAGCUUACUGGACAGAUACUGACGCUGAAGCGCGAAAGCGUGGGUAGCAAACAGG
This 735-nucleotide ribosomal RNA is filed under the name uncultured Fusobacterium sp. Its description in RNAcentral is "bacterial SSU rRNA". It matches the Rfam family "Bacterial small subunit ribosomal RNA", at positions 28 to 776 of the family's 1533-position model. Lineage: Bacteria; Fusobacteriati; Fusobacteriota; Fusobacteriia; Fusobacteriales; Fusobacteriaceae. The record is from RNAcentral.